This is a long non-coding RNA of Musa acuminata AAA Group (dessert banana), 620 nucleotides long. RefSeq lists it as uncharacterized. Lineage: Eukaryota; Viridiplantae; Streptophyta; Magnoliopsida; Zingiberales; Musaceae. The transcript is spliced from 2 exons. The record is from RefSeq and is a predicted model, not a curated record.
AACUCCUUCCGGGAAAGUGAGUGUCAAAUCUCUGAUGUUUCCUUUGCUUAACAGCAUAAUUAUACAAUUAAUGGCCAACCACACCCGAGUAUGUGAGAGAAAGCUUCUUGCAGUACCAAGUUGUGUGGUGAACCAUUAAUGCAAACUGAGUUUUUAAUGUUGAGGAAAGUUGAUUUCGUAUGAAAUAAAUGCCACAGUGCACCUUCUACAUGUCCUAAAACUUUGGCAUUUCCUCUUGUAUGCAGAUUGUAGUGGGAAAGAGUUGAUGCUAUCACAGAAAAGAGUGCAUGUAACUUGAAAGGCAACCAAACAAGGAAGACUUUACCCGUCCUAUUGGGAACUGAUGCCAAGUUGCUGAAGGAUAUCUUACGUGGUCCAGAAAGAAUGAAAAGUUUGUUUGUGGAGAAAGAAUGUACCGUCUCCUCUUCUGCCGUAAUGACCUCAAAUGAUAAUGUUGACAAUUGAACCGGUCAUAUGGCUGCUAGGAUCGAAUUGCGAGUGUAUUACGGCAUUAGACGUGAGGAAUCUGACUUUCUUCUUUGGCUGCAAUUUCCAAAUACAUAACACUUCGUUUCUUUUAUUGGAAGGUUGUCAUGAAAAUAUAAGAAAAUUGCCCCUAA